Long non-coding RNA from Passer montanus (Eurasian tree sparrow), 3674 nucleotides. RefSeq lists it as uncharacterized. The transcript is spliced from 4 exons. The record is from RefSeq and is a predicted model, not a curated record. NCBI's taxonomy places the organism in Eukaryota, Metazoa, Chordata, Aves, Passeriformes, Passeridae.
ACCUCCUGUACCAGAGAAGCAUGGCAGUGCCCUUCAGCUGCAGAUGUGGCUAUGGGAGCAUUUCGCAUAAAUUACUAUGUAUCCUUAAAUAUGUAUGACAUUUGUGACUUCUGUUGGGAUUAUUUAUUAUACUAGUUUAAUCAAACAAUUUAUCAAAUUAUUUCUACCAACUGUUAGCAGUUUUGAUAUCUGCUGUAAAAGCAACCACAGCUAAGUUUGGGGUGGAGGUGGGGGUGUUCUAUGAAUAAAAUAUAUUUCUUCAUGAGCUUAUUAAAAGCAUUUGCAAUAAGCAGCCUACCCAACCAGAUCACAGCUUUGAGAAAAUGAUUACUGUUUUUCCUUGUGAUUCAAGAAUGCACUGAGCAAAUGUCAGUUUUGGGGAGCUGAUUCAAUUCAAGGCAAACAAUUUCAUUCACAGUGAGUAUCAUGAGCUUUGCCUCUUGUCUAACAAGUUCCUGAUCCUGCUAAAAACAUGUCAUAUAACUGCGAGACAAAUGUGUCAGCAAAUCAAUUGUCACACUUCAUCUAUUUCUUGAAACUGGCCAUGUUUUCACUGAGUUCAUUAAACAAUUGGUAUCACCCUUUGAUACAUUUGGAGUAUACAGCUAGAACAACAAUUACAGGGCAAAACAAGUAACCUCUCACGCUCAGUAAUAAUCAAGGUAUAUGUGCAACUAUAUACAAGUAUACAUACACCUGUCUAUAUAGCUUUAGCAGGAACUGAUAUUUUGUCUUUACCUCAAUGACAAGUCACCUUUUUUCCUUUCUUUUAUUUCUUUCCUCCCUUCCUCCCUUCACCCCCCACACAUUAAGUGUGCUGUCUUUGGUAUAAGUACACAGGCAAAAAAAGGUAAUCUCUGAGUUUAUUUCCCUUCAGGAUUUGAAAAAAGCCAUUAUCUGCUCAGUACCUCAUCACAGAAAAACACUAUGUGCUGCCAGUGUGGCAGAAUUCUGUGUCACUUGGAUCUUCCCUUACUUGUAGAAGUGAUAAGUACUGGAUCUGUCAAGUGACAAAAUCAUUGGCUGUGACCUAAAUUCUCCCUAAAACAUGGUAUGGAGAAAGAACCCACACACAUAGCUUUAACUUCUCAAUCCUACUCUGUCUUCAGUUGCUUGCUGUGACCUUUCUUAGAAAGGAUAAGCUUAUUCACAGAAGAGAUAGUCGCCUCUGCAAAAUGUUUGCUCCCAUUUUAUGAAAGAGUUGAAAGUUUCUGACUUUUCUUAAUUUGCUCAUUGUAUUUCCACUUAACUGGAAUUGCCACAACUUGGUAUCUGUUCCUCUUCUACUCACAACAAAUUCCACGCUGGCUUCAAGCCCUAAAAAGGAACUUCUGAUAUGCUGUUGGAUUAGACUUCUGCUUUUGUUAAAAAUAAUGAGUAACACUUGAAAAUUAUGAAAGUAUUAAUCCCUCCAAUUAGUUUGUGAACUCUUUACUGUGAUCUUGAGAGCUGUAGACCCUAAACGGUAUUCUAAUUAUGAAAUGAGAACACUGAAGCUACUGAGAUACUCUAGUUUGAAGAGAUUAUAAGAGAAAAAAUGACUAACAGUGACAGAUACUUAGAAAGUGAAGAUGGACCUGAGCUCAGCAUGUGCAGGGUCUGUGAAAGGAGAAAAAUGUACAUGGAUCAAAAAUCAACGUCAAAAUAAAAAAUUUUUAAAAAGAGAAGCCAAUUAUGCACCAUGGGCAGUGUGGAGCAGAGGAAUAUUUUUCAAAAAGUUCAGGCAAAGGCAUAAUGUAUGAGCAAACACUAAAAGAAUAUUUUAGUCAGAAGAUCAUCAUCCACGUGAGUGAUGUGCAUUUGCAACAUGACCGGCAGUCUUGACAGUGACAAGAAGGAGGACAGACACUACUGUUGUGUUCAUGCACAAAGCAAUUUUACCCUGGGAGGAGACAGCAGAAGAGACUGACUACAAUCAUAUGAUCCUGCUCAGUUUCAUUUCAAAUCAUCCUAAACUGCAUUUGUGCUGACCUGGUCUGUGGUUACUCAGUUUGAUACAGAAUACAAAGAGACGGUCAGAAAAUAUAAUGGGGGAAAAAAAAAAGGAAAGCAGGACUAAAAUAGCAAUGGCAUGAUAUGUGCUUUCCCGUUCUUUUCUCUAAGGAUUUGUGUUAGUGGAAAAUACCUAUUUCAGCAGCCUGACAGAGGCAGGACUGCUGCCACUCCACAUCCCCAGCUCUAAUCUGUAAUGAGGCUGAACAUGUAUUCCCAGCUGACACACAGGGCACAUGCAUACAGCACAAAAUACAAAUAUAUACACUGCUGGCCAUACAGAUAAUGUAAAGACACACAGACCACUCACACCAACACUGACAGCACCACCAGCCUCAUCCUGCUGUCUGCUCUAGCUGGGGAGAACAGAGGUCCUUAAGUGGCAGCCUAUAUACACAGCUACAAGAUGGUGCCUUCCAGCAGAAGACUUUGGUGUGUCCAGCAGCUGCUCCUGGAUCCUGGUCUCCCCAUUUACUGCCACCUGGAUGUACAAGCUCUCAAAGCCACAGCCCCACUCCUGCUGCUGGUACAAACCCUCAUCACACACAUACACCCAGAGCUGUUGGGGAAUUCUCUGGUCCCUAUAGUCCCCUUCCUGUGCUCUUGCCCCUGGAUGCCAGCAGCCACUCCCCACCCAGAGGUGGCCCUCAGACAUCUCCAAACCCAUCCCUGUCCCCAACCCACUCAUCUGCAUUACCUUUGCCAGCAAUCACAUCCACACUUGCACCAGCUCCUGCACCACAAACAACCUCAUCUACCCCCUUACACACAAGAAAUAAAGAGCCCCUUACUGGAAAGCAGCUGAAUGUGCAUUUACUGAAGAGAGAAAACAGAUUGUGCUGGUCAGGAGCAGGGCACAGCUAGACAACUCUCCACACAGGUGAACCUCUUUAUUACCUUGUUCCACACUUGUUAGUCACCCAAUCUCUUAAACCCCUACUUUGUUCUGCUUUUGAUUUCUCCUCUGAAUACCUGUGAUGAAUUCCCAAAAGCUCUUGCCCUGCAUCAUGUUAUGUGUCUCACACCUCCAGCUAGCAUGUCCCCUUAGCAACCUGGAAAGCUGCUUCCCAUCACACAUAGAUGGAUUGAUAGAUUUCAUACCUGGACACCAGUGCUGAGCCUCUUCUGGGCCAGCCCUGGGAGGGGACCAGAGAGGGUGUCCUUUCCCCUUAGUCCUUACUUUGCUUUCCUAUCUUCCAUUGCCACUGUGCUCCUUUGGGCUAGCAAAGAUGGGCCUUUCACGACUCUCCUGUGGUGGCAAUCAAUCAAUCUGUCAGUAGCCUAACAAACCAUGUAUUUAAAUCUACUUAAUAUUUCUUUUUUAAGCCAAACAAAGUUAGACAACAACAAAUAAGAACAGGUAAGCAUAAACAAAGUACAAGAGUAGGGAAACAGAAAUCCAGAAUCUACAUCAUCAUACUGCUUGUGAUUGUCAUAUAAACUGGUGUGGAAGAGGUUUUACAGCGACUUCUGUGAGCCAGAGAGAAGUUUGAUAAGAGGAUCCAUGUUUACCCUGAAAGAAUUCUCUACCAAGGUCGUUGACAUAGGAACCAAGAGAGAAAGAAGGAUAAAUAAGAGAAGCCUGCAACUGUCUAUUGCAAUAAGCACUUUGUUUGUCUUUCCUGACCAAUGAGUAAAGUGUAUACUCAUGAGUUUUGUAAGAAUCUAUAAAAAGCAUGCAU